GGCGUGGAGAGCUGCUUUCACCUGGCUUUGCCCAGAGCUGCAGGGAGGCCUUGGCAGAGAGCUUGGUGGCGGGUAAUGUGUGUAGCCUGGGGCACGACUUUUACUCAAGUCCAUAUGGCACCGGGGUAAGUCACACCUGUCCUAACCUCUCCAUCGAGGAGGAAUUGGGUGAAAAGGGACUUCAGCUGUAGCAAAGAAGGGGAGACACAAGGACAUCAUGUGUGUGUGUGUGUGGGGGUGUGUGUAUGUGUGUGUGUUUUGGGAAGACUGGAGGAGGGCCGAAGAUGGCACUUACAGGUCCUGGUCUGCGGCACUGUGCCUGGUCUUUGAGGCAGUGUCAAGCCCGUCAAAAUGGGUUCCAAGGCUGACCUCAAAUCCUCAUGCUCUGUAGACAACUAGCCACCAUGCACUCCUCUCCCCACGGAACCGCCUGGGGUGCUGGCACGGGCACGUGGUUGUCUGACAGGGAAACAAGCGUUUCAAGGACGGCGUGGUUGGUUUCACUUUCCUUCAGUGGGAGGAACUGGAGUCGGUUGACCAGCAAGUUGCUGUUGCGUGCCUUUUGUGUGUUCUGCUGGGCUGGGGGCUGUGGGGGAUGCUAAAGAAGUAGAGCAUUGGCCUCCUCUGGAAGACUCAACCUUUGGUUGUGUGACUGCGGGAGUACACACGUUCUAAGGAGUGGCCCAGGAUGCAUCAUGGGUGCCCAGUUCAGAGGACGGAGACCUUAGAGGGGAAAGCAGUUGUAGUCAGGGCAGACUUCAUGGAAGAGGCAGCCCUGAGCUGCUUUUUCAAAGGAGACAGAGGAUUUAGACAGGCAGAGAGAAGUGGGAUAACUUAACAGAGGCAGGAAACUCCUCAAGCCCUGAUGAUCUCUAGCCCUGUAGGGAAGUCACAGCUUUUUUGGCCUGGGUUCAGGAUGAACCUCUAAUGUCAACCUGGACACCGGUCAGCUGAAGACAAAACUGUCACCUUGCGCUCCUCCCUGCCUGUCCUGCUCAUGACAGUCACAACAAGUUUAUAAGCAGCAUUAUCCCCCCAGAGGCAGGCAGGCAGCCAGCCUUUGCCACUGGUGCAGAGAGGAGAUUCAACCAACCGAGGAUCCUGCCAGAACAGGAAACCGUGAGCCGCGUCUGCCUGACUGCAUCCUCUGAGGCACUUUCCCACCCUGUUCCUUGAGAGACGAGCCUUGGCGCGGCACCUGCCUCCCUGUGGAUGUGCAGACGUGGCCUCCGGAAGAUGAGAAAAUGAAGGUCAGAGACAUGAAGUCAUUUUCCCAAGGUCACACAACGAGGAAGUUGCAAAGCUGGAAUUUGAAUCCAGGGUGCUGGUUGACAUGCUCGGGCUCCUAGGCAUUCCAGAGAUUUAUGGAAAAUCCAGAGGAAGGAGGAGGCUAGAGGAUCCUCGAGAUCGGGAACGCUCCUCUACUGGUCUGCAUACUGGAGAGCCCUGGAGUUUUCCAUCUAGACCUGGUCCUGGAAUGCAGGCUUAUUGGCAGUAUUGACUACAGGAUUCAAUUUGGUCCAGCAGGUGCUGGGUAACGGGAAGCCUGCUAAGAGCAGCCGUGUUAACAGUACCCCUCUCGCGAAAGGAUGCUCUAAGAAGGGUGAGAGGAUAGACGGAGAAGAAGAUGAAGAAGAAGAAAAAGGGGGAAAAAACAACAACUUGCACACACAUACACAUCCCUGUGGGCUGCUGCUGCUGCUGCUGCCACGGUGGCUGCUUGGAUGCGUCUAAGAUGGCACCUUGGUGCCCUGCCACAUUCGGUCUCCUUGGUACCGAAGCGGCGCUCAGCUUCUUGUCACUGAGUGGAUGAUGAUUAUCUGUACCAGGGUCUCAAGGGUGCUCAAGCUUUGCUGGCGAUUGGAGCUGAGAUGCUUCAGCUGAAGGAUUUUAAAAGCCGUACAAGGCCAAAGAACCAUUACCAGUCACUUGCUGUGUGAUGCCUGUUGAAGAGGGGGUGGGUGUGGGAAGGAGCGCGCUGGGGGAGCCAGGGAGGGCUAUGAUAUCUUUAUCCCCUCCCCUGUUCUCUGUCUCUCCCCCUCUCCUCCCACCUCUCCACCUCCCCACGCCUUUUUAGCCACUGUACCCUUGCUGAGGCAUGACAAGGUUAUGUCAGUGUGGUCUGAGAAUCUAUUGAUCACGGCCAUCAAAGAUCUUUGUGGCAGUUUAGGGAUUUGGUGCUUUGCAUAACACCCCACUCAUCUGGGUUAACUCCUCCUGUCCCGGCCUGGGCUCCCAUCACCUCAGAGCUGAGCUGUUGGCAAAACUUGCUAAUUUCUCUGACAGCUGCUUUCCAAACUAUACUCAUAAGGCUGUCAAAACCUUUGUAAUUACUGUUACAAGAGAACUCAGGUGCAUGACCCAGGCAGCGAAGAAGCGGGGGGGAUUGGACCAGACACAGCAAGGAAAAAACCCAAAUAUAGAUACUAACCCCCAACACACAUGCACACACGUGUGCAUGUGCACAGAUGCUUGUAUGUGCUUUCCUUGUCUUCCCCUCGAAGGGCCACAGCAGAAAGGCCCUAUAAGCAAAAAAGAUCUUGUCGGUCUCCUACCCAGGUGAUUUUUCUUUUAAUCAGUGAAAAAUAAAAGAAAUGCCAGAAA
Equus caballus (horse) is the source of this 2604-nucleotide long non-coding RNA. RefSeq lists it as uncharacterized. Lineage: Eukaryota; Metazoa; Chordata; Mammalia; Perissodactyla; Equidae. The record is from RefSeq and is a predicted model, not a curated record.